This 228-nucleotide ribosomal RNA is filed under the name uncultured bacterium. RNAcentral describes it as "partial 16S ribosomal RNA". It matches the Rfam family "Bacterial small subunit ribosomal RNA", at positions 568 to 795 of the family's 1533-position model. The record is from RNAcentral.
UCCGUAGGCGGGCAGCUAAGUCAGUGGUGAAAGUCUGCAGCUCAACUGUAGAAUUGCCAUUGAUACUGGCUGUCUUGAAUUAUUAUGAAGUGGUUAGAAUAUGUAGUGUAGCGGUGAAAUGCAUAGAUAUUACAUAGAAUACCAAUUGCGAAGGCAGAUCACUAAUAAUAUAUUGACGCUGAUGGACGAAAGCGUGGGGAGCGAACAGGAUUAGAUACCCUGGUAGUC